UACGUAGGGGGCAAGCGUUGUCCGGAUUUAUUGGGCGUAAAGAGCGUGUAGGCGGUCAGGUAGGUCCGUUGUGAAAACUCGAGGCUCAACCUCGAGACGCCGAUGGAAACCAUCUGACUAGAGUCCGGAAGAGGAGAGUGGAAUUCCUGGUGUAGCGGUGAAAUGCGCAGAUAUCGGAAGGAACACCUGUGGCGAAAGCGGCUCACUGGACCAUUACCGACGCUGAUGCACGAAAGCUAGGGGAGCAAACAGG
This 253-nucleotide ribosomal RNA is filed under the name uncultured bacterium. Its description in RNAcentral is "partial 16S ribosomal RNA". It matches the Rfam family "Bacterial small subunit ribosomal RNA", at positions 524 to 776 of the family's 1533-position model. The record is from RNAcentral.